GGGGACCUUCGGGGGCCCUAUCAAUCGCGGCGCGUAAAGUGCUGCAUUUAUAACGGAAGACAGAAA
This 66-nucleotide non-coding RNA is filed under the name unclassified sequences. RNAcentral's name for it is "L2-Alphaproteobacteria ribosomal protein leader". It matches the Rfam family "L2-Alphaproteobacteria ribosomal protein leader". The record is from RNAcentral.